CUUCUUCAUAUAUCCAACCGCUAGAGAGCGUGCUGGUGCAGGCCAAAAUAUUGUUCGGCGCAUAGCAACUUCCACAAAACUUAACUGAGGUCAUCAUAUGUUUUUCUAAGCACGACGUGUCAGAGAAGGGGAUUGUUGGUGUGCCGUAUUUCAUUGGAGUUGCGUACGCAGAAUACUGAGUCCAUUGACUUGACAGAGUGGCCUCCACUGCACCUGAAGCCACUGGUCGAUCAGCCGCGGCCACCGCAAACUGGUAAAAAAGGUUCGCAAUUCCUUUGGAGAACGACAUUUUGAAGCCACAACUCACUAUGAAGUAUGAAUUUUUGCCUUCCUUAUUUUUCUGCUGGUUUGUAUAAGUGAUGGAGCUCCACCUAAAAGCCGACAAGGAACGAAAAGCGACGAAGUAAAGGAAGAAUUCAAUGAAGGCAGCAUCGGAGAGCGCCUCAAACCACUCUCUGCAUUGGUGGCUGGUUUUCCGUGUGGCGGCACGGGACCUUGCUUUGCCAUUCCUUGGCGACCUUCAAUUAUCCGGCCUCCACAGCCUCCCCGCCGUCCACGCCCUAACAUGAACAGCAUCGGAUGAGAACGCCGCUUUUUUCUACUGACACAAAUAUACGCCGCUGGGUUUACUUCACGUAAUAAGGCGUCCAUAUAAUUCGGCAGUUAUAACACUAUACUUUUGAUCAUUUGUGGUAUUUUACUUCUCGACCAAAGAAUAGAGAUUAAAGCGCCCUGCGCCACUAUCUCAAGGCCGUCAUCUGUGGUGCACCUUUAAAUGGCAUCAUAAUGUAAAGCAUUUUUCUUUGAAAAUAAACUUCCUGAUUUCCUCGUAAUUACCAUUUUUCACACAUCGUUUUUUGUUAUUCACCGCAAAGAAAAUAGAGACUUCGCCAGUCUUACUUCAUUGCACCAAAUUCGGAAGCAUGUAUUCGCGCAUCACGCCAUGGCGGAUUACAGAAGUCACUAAAAAUAAACAGCUCCACUUUGUAAACUACAAAUUCCGGAACUCUGUGAGUGUGAGCCAAAAUGCGCUAAAUAUAUCACACGUUUAGAAUGUCUUUAAGUGAGCAUAACAUAUGUUGCUAAUGAUGCUGCUGCUGGAGAUGAUGGAAGCACUUCCUUGACUGCUUUAAAUCAACGUAAUAAAAAUAGAGAGGCUUGAGCUCUAUAGGCAG
Molecule: long non-coding RNA, 1175 nt
Organism: Dermacentor silvarum
Lineage: Eukaryota; Metazoa; Arthropoda; Arachnida; Ixodida; Ixodidae
Exons: 5
Source: RefSeq, a predicted model, not a curated record